GACGAACGCUGGCGGCGUGCUUAACACAUGCCAGUCGAACGGAAAGGCCCUGCUUUUGUGGGGUGCUCGAGUGGCGAACGGGUGAGUAACACGUGAGUAACCUGCCCUUGACUUUGGGAUAACUUCAGGAAACUGGGGCUAAUACCGGAUAGGAGCUCCUGCUGCAUGGUGGGGGUUGGAAAGUUUCGGCGGUUGGGGAUGGACUCGCGGCUUAUCAGCUUGUUGGUGGGGUAGUGGCUUACCAAGGCUUUGACGGGUAGCCGGCCUGAGAGGGUGACCGGCCACAUUGGGACGGAGAUACGGCCAAGACUCCUACGGGAGGCAGCGGUGUGGAAUAUUGCACAAUGGGCGAAAGCCUGAUGCAGCAACGCCGCGUGCGGGAUGACGGCCUUCGGGUGGUAAACCGCUUUCGCCUGUGACGAAGCGUAAGGGACGGUAAUGGGUAAAGAGGCACCGGCGAAUUACGU
This 467-nucleotide ribosomal RNA is filed under the name uncultured bacterium. RNAcentral describes it as "partial 16S ribosomal RNA". It matches the Rfam family "Bacterial small subunit ribosomal RNA", at positions 28 to 506 of the family's 1533-position model. The record is from RNAcentral.